Molecule: ribosomal RNA, 549 nt
Filed under: uncultured bacterium
Lineage: Bacteria
Description: partial 16S ribosomal RNA
Rfam family: Bacterial small subunit ribosomal RNA
Source: RNAcentral
UGGGGAAUAUUGCACAAUGGGCGAAAGCCUGAUGCAGCAACGCCGCGUGAGUGAUGAAGGCCUUCGGGUUGUAAAGCUCUGUCUUUUGGGACGAUAAUGACGGUACCAAAGGAGGAAGCCACGGCUAACUACGUGCCAGCAGCCGCGGUAAUACGUAGGUGGCAAGCGUUGUCCGGAUUUACUGGGCGUAAAGGAUGCGUAGGCGGACUUUUAAGUGAGAUGUGAAAUACCCGGGCUUAACUUGGGUGCUGCAUUUCAAACUGGGAAUCUAGAGUGCGGGAGAGGAGAAUGGAAUUCCUAGUGUAGCGGUGAAAUGCGUAGAGAUUAGGAAGAACACCAGUGGCGAAGGCGAUUCUCUGGACCGUAACUGACGCUGAGGCAUGAAAGCGUGGGUAGCAAACAGGAUUAGAUACCCUGGUAGUCCACGCCGUAAACGAUGAGUACUAGGUGUAGGAGGUAUCGACCCCUUCUGUGCCGCAGUUAACACAAUAAGUACUCCGCCUGGGAAGUACGAUCGCAAGAUUAAAACUCAAAGGAAUUGACGGGGUC